Molecule: long non-coding RNA, 306 nt
Organism: Xiphophorus hellerii (green swordtail)
Lineage: Eukaryota; Metazoa; Chordata; Actinopteri; Cyprinodontiformes; Poeciliidae
Exons: 3
Source: RefSeq, a predicted model, not a curated record
UUUCUGGUCUUCACAAGUUUUUAUUUCUUCUCUGAGAGUUUUAAUUUUUGUCUGCAAGUCGUGGUUGUUCUGUUUAACUUGACUAAUUUCUGCUGUCAGGUGUGAACUUUUUUUUUUGCAGCUUGUGAAGUUUUGAGCCAAGGUUUUGAAAUCAGAACUGAUUUUGUUGUUGAGGUUUGUCAUGUUGUAAAUUUUAUAUAGAAGGAAAGUCUGGUUGUUCAUGAACAUCAAAAGUUUCUAAUAUCUUCCUGUUUCAGUCUUAAAAAUGUUCUUUACAUACUUACAGUAGACACGGACUCCAAUAAA